AAAUUUGAAUUUGGAGCAUAAUUUAGAUAAUUUAAAUGAUUACUAUAUGCUGGAUUGGAAAUCGACUUAGGAGAAAACCUACACAUGGAACUUAUCAGUUAUUUGAUCAGAUUUAACUUAAGAAGCUAUAUUUACUAUUGUAUCGCCACUGUUAGUAUAUCGCGGAUACUCAGAUUAGUGUAGGUUGAAAUUACGCUCGUGCUGAAAUGUCAAAUGAAUUUUUACAGCAAUGUUUUGGCUGUUUCGUGUUGUCAGGUGCCGUCCGGACUGACAGUGG
Molecule: long non-coding RNA, 277 nt
Filed under: Ananas comosus (pineapple)
Lineage: Eukaryota; Viridiplantae; Streptophyta; Magnoliopsida; Poales; Bromeliaceae
Description: long non-coding RNA (ACOM_LNC011893)
Source: RNAcentral